GACAAGAUGUCUGAAAAAGAAGAGGGUUGUAAACCCCCUAAUGCGGAUUAAAGUUCCGCUCUUCGUCA
RNAcentral lists this transfer RNA (68 nucleotides) under Holothuria fuscogilva. RNAcentral describes it as "tRNA-Tyr". It matches the Rfam family "tRNA". Rfam says of the family: Transfer RNA (tRNA) molecules are approximately 80 nucleotides in length. Their secondary structure includes four short double-helical elements and three loops (D, anti-codon, and T loops). Lineage: Eukaryota; Metazoa; Echinodermata; Holothuroidea; Aspidochirotida; Holothuriidae. The record is from RNAcentral.